Molecule: long non-coding RNA, 309 nt
Organism: Mauremys mutica (yellowpond turtle)
Lineage: Eukaryota; Metazoa; Chordata; Testudines; Geoemydidae
Exons: 3
Source: RefSeq, a predicted model, not a curated record
UUGCAGAAACGUAUUUGCAGCACAAAGACAUCAGUGCGGUAGAAACAACACAAGAGGCUAAUACUGCGUUUAGAAGACAUAUAGCAAUUCUUCUAAUGAAGGAGUCAGAAAGCGUGGAGGACUACUGCAUAUACUGCAACUUUAUCAACUGUGAAAAAGAAAUUGAGGAUUGCACAAUGGUCCAGUGUGAUUCUUGCAAGAGGUGGGCACGUAUACCCUGCAUUACAGAAGGAACCAAUCAAGAAAACCUGACAGAUGAGAAGAAAGAGUACAACUGCAAGAAAUGUGCAUAGUUCACUUCAUUACCCC